Molecule: long non-coding RNA, 1600 nt
Filed under: Helianthus annuus (common sunflower)
Lineage: Eukaryota; Viridiplantae; Streptophyta; Magnoliopsida; Asterales; Asteraceae
Description: hypothetical non coding rna
Source: RNAcentral
UGAGGCUGUUACCGACCACUCGCCUUCCUCCGGUCGUUGACGGUGUAUAGUGGCGGGCAGGGGUAUUUUUGUCAUUUGCUGACACCUUAGAAGGCCAUAUGACCUGUGGUCUGCUUGCCAACCACCGCUCCUGGUUGGAGCACGAUGGCAACGGUUUUGUGUGUCAAUAUCAUUCAAGUGUUUUACCUCUUUGUGGUUAAUUUUCUUAUGGGUUUUGGUUUCUUGGCUGUGAUCUAGAUGUGAGCCUACUUAAUUGAUGUGUUUUUAGCAGUUUUGUGAUCUAAUUACGGUAUUUUGCUACAGUUUUGUUGGUUGGCUGUGGCAAUCGAUGGUUUUGUCACGCAGCUAUGAUGAUCUCAAAAGUCUUUUACCAAUUGAUUUUGGCAUGGCAAUGAUGGCGGAUGGUAGGGUUUGACCUGCAACCCACCUUGCAGCCAUGAUUUCUGGUAGAUCUGAGCCACAUCGUUUUGUUGUACUUUUCGAGUCUUCUUUCUUGAAGCCAUCUUCAUCACUGUGGUAAAACCCUAACCGCCGUCACCAUCGGUUUCUGCUGAUAACACCUGAAACGGCAAACCCUGGCCACCACUUGUGGUGCGACUGUUGACUAUCGUUGUGGUGACUGAAACCCCAUUCGUCUGCAUGUGUGCUUUUUCAAUAAUUGAGGUAAAACCCAUCUACCCUACCACUGAUCUCAUCUUCUCUCACAACAUCUAUGCCUCUGUUUCUGCUCUGGAGAUGUCUGGUGGCCUAAUAGGAGAUGAACAGUUGUAUUGUCUGCUAAAAUAGAAAAAGGUUGAUUUAAGGUUUUGGAGCUGGCUGGAAAUGCAGCAAGAGACAACAAGAAAACAAAAUCAUUCCGAGACGUGUUUUUAUGGCUUCCAGCUUCUAUCUUUUUACUUGAUGAAUAAGAGAGACAACAAAGAGAAAGGCAGACCUUAAUGAGGGACUCAGACGACAUAAAAAAUGUUAGGACGAAGCUUUCCCUGGUGGUAUCGGUUGGAGUGUACAGGCAGUGGUGGUGCAGAUGCAGCUCCGAUGAAUUGUGGUGUUGAAACAAGGUCAAAACAAAACAAACAGAAGGCGAUAAUGGUGACAGAGUGACAAAGUUUUGGAAUCACAGCCGUGAACUUAGCUGGCUUGGGUUUUUAUCGGAAAUCCGGUGACCCCUUCGAGCUGUGUGUUUCAUUUCAAAGCUAGGAACUACGAGAUACAUGUAAAUCCAAUUACCUAUCUCACGCCACCUCUGGUACAACUUCAAGGUAACGGUCUGACGAUCUAAGAGAGUAGGAAUGAGGCUAUAUCUGAUUAUUAAUUACGAAAUUGGUGGCUCAACUUCUGACUCGCUAGGCAUUUAGCUGAUUCACUGACUCAGCUCGGAAUUGCUUCCAAACAUUACAAAUGGGAGUAGAAACAUAAGACAUAAAAAAGCGAUGGUCUUUAGUAGAUAAACAUAUUUACGGAUGUGAAACUGAAUGAAAUGGUGGAGUGGGCUUUGUAACUUAAAACUUCUGAGUAUAGUGUAAUGUUUCUUUGUUGUAAUCAUCUUCUCCAUUCCAUUGUUGAAGCUUUGUUUUCUCAAGUAAACGUUAAUGCUAUUGGU